UACGUAGGGUGCGAGCGUUGUCCGGAAUUAUUGGGCGUAAAGAGCUCGUAGGCGGCCGGUCACGUCGGGUGUGAAAGCCCGGGGCUCAACCCCGGGUCUGCAUUCGAUACGGGCCGGCUGGAGUUCGGUAGGGGAGAUCGGAAUUCCUGGUGUAGCGGUGAAAUGCGCAGAUAUCAGGAGGAACACCGGUGGCGAAGGCGGAUCUCUGGGCCGAUACUGACGCUGAGGAGCGAAAGCGUGGGGAGCGAACAGG
This 253-nucleotide ribosomal RNA is filed under the name uncultured bacterium. RNAcentral's name for it is "partial 16S ribosomal RNA". It matches the Rfam family "Bacterial small subunit ribosomal RNA", at positions 524 to 776 of the family's 1533-position model. The record is from RNAcentral.